RNAcentral lists this ribosomal RNA (800 nucleotides) under bacterium. Its description in RNAcentral is "bacterial SSU rRNA". It matches the Rfam family "Bacterial small subunit ribosomal RNA", at positions 108 to 920 of the family's 1533-position model. The record is from RNAcentral.
GAGUAACACGUGAGCAACCUGCCCCUGACUCUGGGAUAAGCGCUGGAAACGGCGUCUAAUACUGGAUACGAACCACGAAGGCAUCUUCAGUGGUUGGAAAGAAUUUCGGUUGGGGAUGGGCUCGCGGCCUAUCAGCUUGUUGGUGAGGUAAUGGCUCACCAAGGCGUCGACGGGUAGCCGGCCUGAGAGGGUGACCGGCCACACUGGGACUGAGACACGGCCCAGACUCCUACGGGAGGCAGCAGUGGGGAAUAUUGCACAAUGGGCGCAAGCCUGAUGCAGCAACGCCGCGUGAGGGAUGACGGCCUUCGGGUUGUAAACCUCUUUUAGCAGGGAAGAAGCGAAAGUGACGGUACCUGCAGAAAAAGCGCCGGCUAACUACGUGCCAGCAGCCGCGGUAAUACGUAGGGCGCAAGCGUUAUCCGGAAUUAUUGGGCGUAAAGAGCUCGUAGGCGGUUUGUCGCGUCUGCUGUGAAAUCCGGAGGCUCAACCUCCGGCCUGCAGUGGGUACGGGCAGACUAGAGUGCGGUAGGGGAGAUUGGAAUUCCUGGUGUAGCGGUGGAAUGCGCAGAUAUCAGGAGGAACACCGAUGGCGAAGGCAGAUCUCUGGGCCGUAACUGACGCUGAGGAGCGAAAGGGUGGGGAGCAAACAGGCUUAGAUACCCUGGUAGUCCACCCCGUAAACGUUGGGAACUAGUUGUGGGGUCCAUUCCACGGAUUCCGUGACGCAGCUAACGCAUUAAGUUCCCCGCCUGGGGAGUACGGCCGCAAGGCUAAAACUCAAAGGAAUUGACGGGGAC